GGUCUUAUAGUUUAAUAAAAACAUUAAAUUGCAAAUUUAAAAUUGGUACAAUCUAAGACUU
Molecule: transfer RNA, 61 nt
Filed under: Atkinsoniella zizhongi
Lineage: Eukaryota; Metazoa; Arthropoda; Insecta; Hemiptera; Cicadellidae
Description: Atkinsoniella sp. 1 YJ-2022a tRNA-Cys
Rfam family: tRNA
About the family: Transfer RNA (tRNA) molecules are approximately 80 nucleotides in length. Their secondary structure includes four short double-helical elements and three loops (D, anti-codon, and T loops). Further hydrogen bonds mediate the characteristic L-shaped molecular structure. tRNAs have two regions of fundamental functional importance: the anti-codon, which is responsible for specific mRNA codon recognition, and the 3' end, to which the tRNAs corresponding amino acid is attached (by aminoacyl-tRNA synthetases). tRNAs cope with the degeneracy of the genetic code in two manners: having more than one tRNA (with a specific anti-codon) for a particular amino acid; and 'wobble' base-pairing, i.e. permitting non-standard base-pairing at the 3rd anti-codon position.
Source: RNAcentral